RNA transcript from Onychostruthus taczanowskii (white-rumped snowfinch), 4977 nucleotides. It is a transcript of the gene named tropomodulin-3-like, with no coding region annotated. NCBI's taxonomy places the organism in Eukaryota, Metazoa, Chordata, Aves, Passeriformes, Passeridae. The transcript has 12 exons. The record is from RefSeq and is a predicted model, not a curated record.
GGGACGGGACGGGGGUGCCGGGCGGAGCCGGGCCGGACUGGGCUCGGGUGGGCAAGCCCUCCGUCCGCCGCGGCGGGAGCCCGGUGGGAGGAGGAGGACGGAGCUGGGUUGACGCCCGCCCGGCCGGACCCCGGCGGCUCAGGGGGGCCUGAAGCCCCGCUGGUGCUGCGGAACGGGGCGGUCCGGCCGGGGCGGCGGUGGGCCCGACAGCGGGGUCCUGCCCGGGCAGCCUCCCGGGCGGUGGGCGCGGGGCUGAGGGGCCGGGGGAGCUGCGCGGCGCGCCCGGCUGCGGGGCUGGGCUGGGUGUUCAGCCAGCGCCCCGCUCGCGGAGACUUCGGAAACUUCGCCUGUGGAGCUGGUGCCCGUAAUUCCUUCAGUUUGCUGCAUGUGUUUGCCACGGCUCUCAGCGCUGGGUCCCCGCGGUCGGUGACGGAGGGAUGCCUUUCCGGGGCGGGGUGCGCUCCGUGCCCCGGGCCCGGCGGCUCCGGAGCCUCCCGUUCGCCCCGGCACAGGGCUUGUCCCGGGAGCUGCGCACGGAGCUUGGGGUGCUGCUCUGAGAGCCUGGCGCUCUGCGGGCUUGUAAGUUUUGCCACUUUUCUGCAAUGGAUGAAAGAUAACUGAAUGUGUCAAUAAACAUUCAGGUAGCUUGCAUCUGAAGUUUCUUUUUGACUAAGACACCAGCAGGCAAUUCCUCCAGGAGCAGACACUGUAUAUUAAUGGGCAGCAGGUUUCUAUCGAAGAACAUCCAGUUUUUCAUAGAUCUGGAUAAGAUUUGAGACUUGGUUUUGAAGUGCUUGAGGAACUUGCUACUGCCCAAGUCAUGACGCUCCCAUUUCGAAAGGACUUGGACAAGUACAAAGAUCUCGAUGAGGAUGAAAUUCUUGGCAAACUUUCGGAAGAAGAACUGAAGCAACUGGAAACUGUUUUGGAUGAUCUUGACCCCGAGAACGCGCUGCUGCCUGCAGGCUUCCGGCAGAAAGACCAGACUGCCAAGAAGGCCUCGGGUCCCUUCGACAGGGAACGGCUCCUGGCCUACUUGGAGAAGCAGGCGCUGGAGUACAAGGACAGGGAAGACUAUGUGCCUUUUACAAGAGAAAAGAAAGGGAAAAUAUUUAUCCCCAAGCAAAAGCCUGUACAAUCUUUCACAGAAGAAAAAUUCUCUCUUGAUCCAGAACUGGAGGAAGCCUUGACCAGUGCCACAGACACAGAACUGGGUGACCUCGCAGCAAUACUGGGAAUGUCCAACUUGAUAACAAACAAUCAGUUCUGUGAUGUAGUAGGAAGCAGUAAUGGGAUUGACAAAGACAGCUUCUCAAAUAUAGUAAAAGGUGAAAAAAUGUUGCCUGUUUUUGAUGAACCACCAAAUCCCACAAACGUGGAGGAGACACUGCAAAGAAUUAAAGAUAAUGAUUCUCGUCUUGUUGAAGUUAAUCUAAAUAACAUUAAGAACAUACCAAUUCCAACGCUGAAAGAAUUUGCAAAAGCCUUAGAAACCAACACACAUGUGAAGAAUUUCAGCCUGGCAGCCACCCGAAGCAAUGAUCCUGUUGCUGUUGCUCUUGCAGAUAUGCUGAGAGUAAACACAAAAUUAAAAAGUUUGAACAUAGAAUCAAACUUCAUCACUGGAGUUGGAGUUAUGGCAUUGGUUGAUGCGCUGAAAGACAAUGAAACGUUGACAGAGAUCAAAAUUGAUAAUCAGAGGCAGCAGCUGGGCACAGCUGCAGAAGUAGAAAUUGCCAAGAUGCUUGAAGAAAACAACAAGAUCCUCAAAUUUGGAUACCAUUUCACACAACAGGGACCUCGAGCCAGGGCAGCUGCAGCUAUCACAAAAAACAAUGAUUUGGUCUGGAGUAUGGGAGUAAAAGUUUCUGCAAAUACCUUUUCAUCUCUCCAGCCCUGAAUCUACAGAGAAGGUUACUCUGAAUACCCACUUGGGUAUUGAGCCCUGAAACCGAGAUGUUUGAAGUCUCUAAUUUCUCCCUUUUUCGGAAGAGAAGGGUUGAAGGAGACAAUUAGCGACGCCGAUGGCAGAACCGCGGAGUCAGCACGGGCAGCACCGUGGGCUUCGGCUCUCUUGGACUACAUUGACCUGGGUUAGAAGGGAAAAGACUGGAAACCCCAUUCCUUUUGAAGCAAAGCAAUAGAAUCCUCUGCUGGUGUGCAGCACGGUUUUGGGAUGGAUGGAGACACAGUAACUGUGCCAGUCUCUGUACCAUAGGUUUUGAUUGGGUUUUUUUUAAGAACUUUUUUUUUUUUAUUUCAAGACUUUGGCUGUGCUUUCUACUAAAAAUGUAAUUGCAAAUCAAUGGUAUAAUUGUCUGUAGUAGAAGAAUGGGACUUUUAAGAUGAUUGGGCAGAUGCUGGCCCAACUGAAAUGUUUGUAAGAAAAUCUGUGUAUUUACCAGGAGGAGUGUGUAUAUUCCUGACAACAAUUGCUAGAGAAAAGGGAUUCUUCACCCAGCAGCUGCACUCGUGUACAGCUGCUCAGCUUUGCUCAUCUGCACUGAAGAGAAAUCUUUCACAGCAAUGUUAUUUGUAAUUCUACUGGUUUAUUUUUUAUUUGUUCUUGAUACUGUAAUCAAGUUCAAAGGUAUCCUUUUAAGCCAAACAAAAAUAAAUUGGCUAAGGACUUCUCCCAAGCAAUUAGAGGGACUAAUAUAAGAAUGGAAGCCUUGGAAAACAAGGAAAAAAUUUGGGAGCCUUACAAAAUGACAGGUCUUCUGUUACACCUAAAUCCUGAAAGUCUUUUUCAAAAGGUCCCAGAACUGUGUCUUGCUUUGUAUCUAAACUGGAUACACAUCUAGACUAAUUUCAUGUGUUCAUCAGCAUUAUUUAGUUUAUAUUCUUUGUUUAAAAAUUGUUAUCUACAUUCAUAAGUAUCAAUUUCUCUAGAAGUAGUGGACAUUCAUAUUUAAAAUUUUGCAUAACUAUACAGGAAAAGCAGCCUUAACUGUAAAACCACUGGCCUAAGUUGCAUUACAUUAAGCUAUUUGUACUUCAUACAAAUCUAACAGUUUUCAAUAAUGAAGUAACACUUUUAAGAAAGGAUUUUUCCAUUCUCUAUCUGUCUUGAUGUUGAAACACUACCUAAGAACCAAACCAAUGUCGUGUCAGAUCUCUAGGGCAUAGUCCAAGUGUUUAAAGUUCUAUAAGCAAGCUAAUAAGGCAACAAGAAUCACUUCAACUUCUGCACAUAAUCGCAGUACACUUUGAAAUAUGAAAAUCUAGCAGCUCUUCGGUGUAGGUCUGUUUGGACUGUCUUGUACUAGUUUGCUUUGAGAUCACAGAAGUGUUCUACAGGACUGCUUGGCUGUAUUUAGAGCAACAGAGAAUUCAACUGACAACUGUUUUCAUCCAAAGAUCAUAAUGUGAUGAGCAUUUAUGUGUAGAAAACAUACUGGACUGAGAAUUUUGGAUCAGGUUGUAUAUGCUAUAAAAACAGAGCCAGUCUCUGACACUGUGCCCAUGUUGUAAUUUGCUGCAAGUCUUGGUUUGGAUCUUUAAAGACAGCCUUUAUUCUGGAAGUGGCUUCAAAUUUCCCUGCAACUGUACAGAGAAUUUUCAACUGUAGUGCCUUCAGUGGGGAUGUAUAUAACUGGUUUAUAUUCGUGGAAGAACCUUUUUCCCCCUACUUCUAGAUCGGCGUUUUAUUAGAAUUACAAAUAAAUGUGUGCUCCGAAAACCAAGUUGGAAUGAAUUCAGUUAAAACCAAAGACUACACUUACUGUAACCUCACAACACCAGAAGUGUUCUAAUGAGUAACAAAAAGGGCUUCUUUUGGUUUGGGCUUUUGUAAAUUUUCAAGAAAUUUUUAGAUUUUGAAAUAAACUUUGAAAUAGUUCUCAUACAAUAUGCAUACAGUCAGAAGUUCAGUGUAUUUUUAUAGACAGACACUGCUGUACAAACAUGGCCAAAGCAUGUCAUGUGCUGAGUUGCCUAAAGCUGUACGUUACUUUUGAUUUGCUAGGCACCAUAAUCAUUUUGUGUCAAAAAGCAGGCUGUAAGGUCUUCCUUCAAUUGUUGAAGGGCUGUGUGUUCACAAAUCUGUUCAUGUAUUGGGAUUCUGUGAUGAAUUGUUUUAUCACUACCUAAAAAGAUUAGGCAGUUAUCUCCUACUUGAAAAUGAAGGAGGAAAUUGAAAGGCUGGAUGAUGGAAAUAAUAGCCCAAAUCCCUUUCUUGCUUUUACUUAAUCAAGUUUGGCUGUUUAAUUUUUUAUAUUCCAAUCGUUUCUGCUCUCAGGUGUCCUGUCACAAAUGAUAGUUAAAUGGUUUAACUCUGUCGAUAACAGCUAAAAAUUUGACUACUUGUGACUUUCAGGACAGAUACCUGGCAGGCUGGGCAUGGAAAACAAUUUUUUUCAAUCAGAAGGGUUUAAUCAUCCAAAUUGUUGCAAGCCUUUUGGUGUGGUGCAUGGAAGAGUUAACAGCAAUCACUUUUGUGCCUGCAGUGUGUAUCCUUUUUGGAAUAAAUGAAGAAAUUCAAUCUGUAGCCAGGAUUUUUCAGCAGUCUCAGCAAACAAAGUGAACACUGAUGUAAUGCCAUCGAGUGGGGUGAGAUCCUGCCUAUGAUUUCACCGAUUGUGAUUGCAGGAGUGGUGUUACUGUGAUAGCCAGUUACAUUAACACAAGGUCUUUUUCUGAAAGAGAUACUGUUUUCUUACUGAUUAUUUUCCCGGCUUAAUGCAGAAAUCAAAUGACUGCAUAUGUUGAUUGUGUUGGUUCCAAGCUAAGCAUGGAAACAUAACCAAUAUUUCAGAGCAAUUACCUAUUUACUCUUGUAUUUUAAAGAAAUAACCUCACUCUCUCUGUAACUUGAGUAAUCCUGCGUUUGUAAGCUACAAACGAGCAACUGUUCGAUUUAAAUUUCCAUUGGGGAAGCAGGUAUUGAGUAUUUUAGUAUAUCAGCACUAUAUGCUGGGUCAGAUUGUAAAACAGCUACUAAUCUUUGGAUGAUUAAAGUACUGUAUUCUUGUGGCU